AGCACGGGAGCUUGCUCCUGGUGGCGAGUGGCGAACGGGUGAGUAAUGCGUCGGAACGUACCGAGUAAUGGGGGAUAACGCAGCGAAAGCUGUGCUAAUACCGCAUACGCCCUGAGGGGGAAAGCAGGGGAUCGCAAGACCUUGCGUUAUUCGAGCGGCCGACGUCUGAUUAGCUAGUUGGUGGGGUAAAGGCCUACCAAGGCGACGAUCAGUAGCGGGUCCGAGAGGAUGAUCCGCCACACUGGAACUGAGACACGGUCCAGACUCCUACGGGAGGCAGCAGUGGGGAAUUUUGGACAAUGGGGGAAACCCUGAUCCAGCCAUUCCGCGUGAGUGAAGAAGGCCUUCGGGUUGUAAAGCUCUUUCAGCUGGAAAGAAACGGUGCGCUCUAACAUAGCGUGCUAAUGACGGUACCAGCAGAAGAAGCACCGGCUAACUACGUGCCAGCAGCCGCGGUAAUACGUAGGGUGCGAGCGUUAAUCGGAAUUACUGGGCGUAAAGCGUGCGCAGGCGGAUUGUUAAGCAAGAUGUGAAAUCCCCGGGCUUAACCUGGGAAUGGCAUUUUGAACUGGCAGUCUAGAGUGCGUCAGAGGGGGGUGGAAUUCCACGUGUAGCAGUGAAA
Molecule: ribosomal RNA, 622 nt
Filed under: uncultured bacterium
Lineage: Bacteria
Description: bacterial SSU rRNA
Rfam family: Bacterial small subunit ribosomal RNA
Source: RNAcentral